GUUAUAUGGUCAAGCGAAUAAGCGCACACGGUGGAUGCCUAGGCGGUCAGAGGCGAUGAAGGACGUGGUAGCCUGCGAAAAGUGUCGGGGAGCUGGCAACAAGCUUUGAUCCGGCAAUAUCCGAAUGGGGAAACCCACUGCUUCGGCAGUAUCCUGCAGUGAAUUCAUAGCUGCUGGAAGCGAACCCGGUGAACUGAAAUAUCUAAGUAACCGGAGGAAAAGAAAUCAACCGAGAUUCCCUAAGUAGUGACGAGCGAACGGGGAGCAGCCCUUAAGCUGGAAUGGCUUUAGAAAAACAAUCUGGAAAGAUUGGCCAUAGAAGGUGAUAGCCCUGUAUUUAAAAGGGCCACUCCAGUGAAGACGAGUAGGGCGGGGCACGUGAAACCCUGUCUGAAUAUGGGGGGACCAUCCUCCAAGGCUAAAUACUCCUGACCGACCGAUAGUGAACCAGUACCGUGAGGGAAAGGCGAAAAGAACCCCGGAGAGGGGAGUGAAAUAGAUCCUGAAACCGUGUGCGUACAAGCAGUAGGAGCUCGCAAGAGUGACUGCGUACCUUUUGUAUAAUGGGUCAGCGACUUACUGUUCGUGGCAAGCUUAACCGUAUAGGGGAGGCGAAGGGAAACCGAGUCUGAUAAGGGCGCAUAGUCGCGGGCAGUAGACCCGAAACCGGGUGAUCUAGUCAUGGCCAGGGUGAAGGUGCCGUAACAGGUACUGGAGGCCCGAACCCACGUCUGUUGCAAAAGACGGGGAUGAGCUGUGAUUAGGAGUGAAAAGCUAAUCGAACCCGGAGAUAGCUGGUUCUCCUCGAAAGCUAUUUAGGUAGCGCCUCAUAUGUAUCCUCUCGGGGGUAGAGCACUGUUAUGGCUAGGGGGUCAUCGCGACUUACCAAACCAUUGCAAACUCCGAAUACCGAGACGGACUGUAUGGGAGACACACGGCGGGUGCUAACGUCCGUCGUGAAAAGGGAAACAACCCAGACCCACAGCUAAGGUCCCAAAUUCACUGCUAAGUGGAAAACGAUGUGGAAAGGCAUAGACAGCCAGGAGGUUGGCUUAGAAGCAGCCACCCUUUAAAGAAAGCGUAAUAGCUCACUGGUCGAGUCGGUCUGCGCGGAAGAUUUAACGGGGCUAAGCAGUGAACCGAAGCUUGGGGUGCAUAAAACUUGUUUUAUGCGCGGUAGAGGAGCGUUCCGUAAGCCUGCGAAGGUGGAUUGAGAAGUCUGCUGGAGGUAUCGGAAGUGCGAAUGCUGACAUGAGUAACGAUAAUGCGGGUGAAAAGCCCGCACGCCGAAAGCCCAAGGUUUCCUUGCGCAACGUUAAUCGACGCAGGGUUAGUCGGUCCCUAAGGCGAGGGCGAAAGCCGUAGUCGAUGGGAAGCAGGUUAAUAUUCCUGCACCUCGCGUGAGUGCGAUGGAGGGACGGAGAAGGUUAGGUGUACCGGGCGUUGGUUGUCCCGGGGAAAGGCGGUAGGUUUGGAUCUUUGGCAAAUCCGGGAUCCUUUAAGACCGAGCACCGAGACGAGCCUUUAUGGCGAAGUCACUGAUACCACGCUUCCAGGAAAAGCUCCUAAGCUUCAGCUCACGAAGACCGUACCGUAAACCGACACAGGUGGGUAGGAUGAGAAUUCUCAGGCGCUUGAGAGAACUCGGGUGAAGGAACUAGGCAACAUGGCACCGUAACUUCGGGAGAAGGUGCACCCUUUUUGGUGGCUCGUGCGAGCUAUAGCUGAAGAGGGUCGCAGAAACCAGGCCGCUGCGACUGUUUAUCAAAAACACAGCACUCUGCAAACACGAAAGUGGACGUAUAGGGUGUGACGCCUGCCCGGUGCUGGAAGGUUAAUUGAUGGGGUCAGCCGCAAGGCGAAGCUCUUGAUCGAAGCCCCAGUAAACGGCGGCCGUAACUAUAACGGUCCUAAGGUAGCGAAAUUCCUUGUCGGGUAAGUUCCGACCUGCACGAAUGGCGUAACGACAGCGGCGCUGUCUCCACCCGAGACUCAGUGAAAUUGAAAUCGCUGUGAAGAUGCAGCGUUCCCGUGGCAAGACGGAAAGACCCCGUGAACCUUUACUAUAGCUUUACACUGAACGUUGAGUUCGUCUGUGUAGGAUAGGUGGGAGGCUAUGAAACUGUGGCGCUAGCUGCAGUGGAGCCAUCCUUGAAAUACCACCCUGUCGUGCUUGACGUUCUAACCUAGGUCCGUUAUCCGGAUCAGGGACCGUGUAUGGUGGGUAGUUUGACUGGGGCGGUCUCCUCCUAAAGAGUAACGGAGGAGCACGAAGGUACGCUCAGCGCGGUCGGACAUCGCGCACUGUGUGCAAAGGCAUAAGCGUGCUUGACUGCAAGAUCGACGGAUCAAGCAGGUACGAAAGUAGGUCUUAGUGAUCCGGUGGUUCUGUAUGGAAGGGCCAUCGCUCAACGGAUAAAAGGUACUCCGGGGAUAACAGGCUGAUACCGCCCAAGAGUUCAUAUCGACGGCGGUGUUUGGCACCUCGAUGUCGGCUCAUCACAUCCUGGGGCUGUAGUCGGUCCCAAGGGUAUGGCUGUUCGCCAUUUAAAGUGGUACGCGAGCUGGGUUCAGAACGUCGUGAGACAGUUCGGUCCCUAUCUGCCAUGGGCGUUGGAAGUUUGAGAGGGGCUGCUCCUAGUACGAGAGGACCGGAGUGGACGAACCUCUGGUGUUCCGGUUGUCACGCCAGUGGCAUUGCCGGGUAGCUAUGUUCGGAAGCGAUAACCGCUGAAAGCAUCUAAGCGGGAAGCGCGCCUCAAGAUGAGACUUCCCGGGGCACAAGCCCCCUAAAGGAACCAUGUAGACUACGUGGUUGAUAGGUCAGGUGUGUAAGUACAGCAAUGUAUUGAGCUAACUGAUACUAAUGAUCCGUGCGGCUUGACCAUAUAACCU
This 2895-nucleotide ribosomal RNA is filed under the name Xanthomonas perforans 91-118. Its description in RNAcentral is "bacterial LSU rRNA". It matches the Rfam family "Bacterial large subunit ribosomal RNA". Lineage: Bacteria; Pseudomonadati; Pseudomonadota; Gammaproteobacteria; Lysobacterales; Lysobacteraceae. The record is from RNAcentral.